RNAcentral lists this ribosomal RNA (253 nucleotides) under uncultured bacterium. Its description in RNAcentral is "partial 16S ribosomal RNA". It matches the Rfam family "Bacterial small subunit ribosomal RNA", at positions 524 to 776 of the family's 1533-position model. The record is from RNAcentral.
UACGAAGGGGGCUAGCGUUGCUCGGAAUUACUGGGCGUAAAGCGCACGUAGGCGGUCUUUUAAGUCGGGGGUGAAAUCCUGGAGCUCAACUCCAGAACUGCCUUCGAUACUGGAUGGCUUGAAUUCGGGAGAGGGAUGCAGAAUUCCAGGUGUAGCGGUGAAAUGCGUAGAUAUCUGGAGGAAUACCGGUGGCGAAGGCGGCAUCCUGGACCGGCAUUGACGCUGAGGAGCGAAAGCAUGGGGAGCGAACAGG